AUGAACGCUGGCGGCGUGCCUAAUACAUGCAAGUCGAGCGAACAGAUAAGGAGCUUGCUCCUUUGACGUAGCGGCGGACGGGUGAGUAACACGUGGGUAACCUACCUAUAAGACUGGGAUAACUUCGGGAAACCGGAGCUAAUACCGGAUAACAUUUGGAACCGCAUGGUUCUAAAGUGAAAGAUGGUUUUGCUAUCACUUAUAGAUGGACCCGCGCCGUAUUAGCUAGUUGGUAAGGUAACGGCUUACCAAGGCGACGAUACGUAGCCGACCUGAGAGGGUGAUCGGCCACACUGGAACUGAGACACGGUCCAGACUCCUACGGGAGGCAGCAGUAGGGAAUCUUCCGCAAUGGGCGAAAGCCUGACGGAGCAACGCCGCGUGAGUGAUGAAGGGUUUCGGCUCGUAAAACUCUGUUAUUAGGGAAGAACAAACGUGUAAGUAACUGUGCACGUCUUGACGGUACCUAAUCAGAAAGCCACGGCUAACUACGUGCCAGCAGCCGCGGUAAUACGUAGGUGGCAAGCGUUAUCCGGAAUUAUUGGGCGUAAAGCGCGCGUAGGCGGUUUCUUAAGUCUGAUGUGAAAGCCCACGGCUCAACCGUGGAGGGUCAUUGGAAACUGGGAAACUUGAGUGCAGAAGAGGAAAGUGGAAUUCCAUGUGUAGCGGUGAAAUGCGCAGAGAUAUGGAGGAACACCAGUGGCGAAGGCGACUUUCUGGUCUGUAACUGACGCUGAUGUGCGAAAGCGUGGGGAUCAAACAGGAUUAGAUACCCUGGUAGUCCACGCCGUAAACGAUGAGUGCUAAGUGUUAGGGGGUUUCCGCCCCUUAGUGCUGCAGCUAACGCAUUAAGCACUCCGCCUGGGAGACGUCACCUUGU
RNAcentral lists this ribosomal RNA (880 nucleotides) under Staphylococcus sp. M_Sw_oHS_09/11_10_2(2). RNAcentral describes it as "bacterial SSU rRNA". It matches the Rfam family "Bacterial small subunit ribosomal RNA", at positions 29 to 873 of the family's 1533-position model. The record is from RNAcentral. Lineage: Bacteria; Bacillati; Bacillota; Bacilli; Caryophanales; Staphylococcaceae.